UAGAAAAGAAUGAGUAAAGCGGGACUACAAAACCCGGUACUGACCCUUCGACGCUGCUCAGGACAGGCUAAACAGGAAUCGUAUACAGAGGCAUUUAUGUACGGGUAAGCAACCACAUCAUUGUAAAGCCCAAAGAAUACCCAAAGUGCAUUUAUGUAGAUACGGCAGGGAUCGGGGGAAAGAAGAUGUU
RNAcentral lists this non-coding RNA (190 nucleotides) under Leeuwenhoekiella aestuarii. The record is from RNAcentral. Lineage: Bacteria; Pseudomonadati; Bacteroidota; Flavobacteriia; Flavobacteriales; Flavobacteriaceae.